This is a long non-coding RNA of Gorilla gorilla gorilla (western lowland gorilla), 759 nucleotides long. RefSeq lists it as uncharacterized. Lineage: Eukaryota; Metazoa; Chordata; Mammalia; Primates; Hominidae. The transcript has 4 exons. The record is from RefSeq and is a predicted model, not a curated record.
CUCAUUCUGCCUUGCCUGCCACCAUGUAAGAUGUCCCUUGCUCUUCCACCAUGAUUGUGAGGCCUCUCCAGCCAUGUGAAACUGUCUGUGUAGGUUUUUUCUGGCUACUCCUGUUUCCUCCCACAUCCCAAAGGUGUGCCUAUGAGGUGAACUGCCAUGCCUACACAUCCCAGUAUGAGUGAGUGCAGGUGGUGUGCACGCGCCCUGCGAUGGGAGUGUGUCCUAUUCAGGGCUGGUUCCCGCCUUGCGCCCUAAGCUUUGGAGAUAGGCUUCGGCCACCCUCAACCCUGAACUGGAAUAAGCAGAAAACCACAUCUGGUCAGGAGCCCAAUGUGUCCCACUUGGACAAGAAUAGAAAUCUCUCUUCUGGAAUAUGACCUGAGAUAUCCUGAUGAAGCAGACCACACCUGCCCUCAGAGAUGACCUCAUGAGGAAGCUGAGUUGCAUAACAAACAUCUCUGCUGCUCAGCCACCUCCACUCUUUUUCAACAGACCUUGGAGAUAGCACAGCACCCACACCAAAAAAUCAGGAAGCUCUCUUAUCAGCAAUCUUUCUGUACCUAUGAAAUCAGACAUUCCAACCACGGCAGAACCUCCUGAGUGGACCAGAGCUUCAGAGUCAGGAAAAGCUGGGGCCUAAUGAUGUUUCCAAUCAAAUCACUCUGCAGGGGAUUUUCCAUUUAACAUAUUGUGAUUGUGCAGUAACAUUAGUCUUUGCCAUUUAACUUAUUAAAUUUUAAAAUCUUGUAAUAUCCUCAA